AAGAUUCCCACAUGUUUUCUCGGUGACCAUCAGAGACUCUUCGUGCAGGGAGCUGAUGAAGACAGUCAGCCCAGGACAAAACUGACCUAGCUAGAGGAUGAAGGAACCUAGUCUGUGUAGAGGAGGCAGCAAAGCACAUCAGUACCACUUCUGGGAGCCACCUCUGCAGCAACUCUUCCUCAGCCACCCAGGAGCAGAUGCAAACAGGUGGCCCAUGACCAGGUCCUUUGAGUAUAUAUUAUGGCUUCCAGUUUAAUGUUUUUAUAGGACCCCUGAGUGUGCAGACGAGUGGGUCUCUGCAUCUGUAUCUGUUUCUUGUGCCUUUUAUGGCGCUCUUUUCCUUCUAUUGGUUUGUUUUGUCCUUUUCAGAUGUGUUAGUUUUUGUUCUCUUUUAUUUUAUUAUUAUCCCUUAGAUGCCUGUUUGUUUUCUAAAGAGAGACAGAAAGGGAAUAGAUCCAGAUGGGAAGUGAGGUGAGGAGGAACUUUGGAGGGGGCGGCACGUGUAGCGGGAGGGGAAACCGUAAUCAGGAUAUAUGAGGGAAAAGUCUAUUUUCAAUGAAAGGAAAAAUAAAGAUAAGAGAAAUAAUUUUUUUUUUAUCCAGGUGCAGUGAUGCAUGCUUGUAAUCCCAGCAGUCAGGAGCCUGAGGCAGGAGGAUUGUAAAUUUGAGUCCAGCUUGGUUACAUAGGAAGUGCCAGGCCAGGAUGGGCUGCACAGCAAGAAAAUGUCUAACUGAAGAAGGAAGAGCACGAGGAGGAGGAGGGGGAUGGAGGGAGGAGGGAGAGGGAGGGAGAGAGGGAAGAAGGGAGGAAGGGAGGAAGAGGAUUUAAAGGGAUAAUAGUACCAACUUUACAUGACUUUCUGACGAAGGAGAGGAGGGGCUGGGGCCAAGUCUGCAUGUUCUAAAGCACGGAGUAAUGGAAUUCCAUGUGGAGCGCUGAUAUUAGUACCAGAAACUAAGAACCAUCUUGUUUGUGGAGGAAUGUUUUGUAAAAUUGUCCAGAUCACAGCGAAAAGAAGGAAAAGAGAACCUACCAUCGCCAUUGCCGGCCCAUCAGAUCAUUUCCUGGGUCUUGCUGGCAAUAUCUGACCUGGGAGGUCACAGAAAGCCCCUGUGAGAACCCCCCCAUUCUAAUAUUCAUAAUCUAGUUGUUAAAUGUGAUCAAUAUAUUUUUCUUGUCUAAAUAAUUCCUUACUAUUCAUGGUAGGAAAUUUUGAAAGUACAAAUAAGCAAAAAGAAGAAAACAUAACUAAUGUGUCUUCUCACCCGGUGACAUGUCAUUCUUCCACUUUUUCUGCAAUGUCUAAGCUUUCUGUUGUUAAAUUGUAGCUUGUAGAAUGGUAGCAUUGGUUUGAGGCAUAUCUAUAUUAGAUUAUGCAUUUGCUAUGCAUGUUCAUAUGCGUAUGCUAUGCUGGCUCAAUGAGAAUGACACACUGGAAAGAGUUCCUUAUAGGAAUCAUGACCGUUUGACUCACAUUACCUCUUGAAUGUGUCGUUAACCCAGAUGUCUUUGUACAAAGAAAGCUAGGGCCCAUACCUAUUUGUUUCUCAGCCCCCAACAUAAUCAUCUACCUUAACAGAACUUCUAAGAAUUUCCGUUGUUAUUAUUUGGGGUUUUUUUUUUUCUGUUUUCUUUUGUUUCCAGUGCUGAGAAUUAAACCCAAGGCCUUAUGCAUGCUGAGCAAGCACUCUACCAUUGAGCUCCAUCUCCAGACACUGCUGAACCCAAACAUUAUCAUUUUUCCCUUUUGCCUUCCAGUGCUGUACGGCUGUGAUGCACAUUGGAUAAUGGUACACGGAUGCACGUGUAAACUAUUUCUUAGAACUCUAAUCACUUUCACAGCAAUCUAUCCACACCGGCAGUAAAUUAUAUAAUAGCCAAUGUGCCCAGGACUGGUCCUUGCCAUGAGAAACAGUUGUUCGUUAGAGUCCACAGAUUAGAGACAAUCAUAUAACAUGUCAGCAGAUGUGUUCACAGGCUUUAACAGAGCUGGAGGGGGACUUAAAAAUGAGUAUGCACCUUUCUCCACCAUGACAUCCUUCCCUUUACAGAUGGGGACAUGUCUGCAGACUCAGCCUGAGCCAAAGGCCUCUUUCAGAAACCCACAUGUUUGUUCCUGAGUCCCCGCAUGACUUCUUAGUGAUCUUUGUACCUUCUGAUUUGGAUACAUGCCUGGAGUUGUCAUUGAGUUAACAUUAAAUCACUUUAUUUUGGGGAAUUGACCUUCCUUGGGGGAAAGAGGGUGAAUAGGUGAGACAGGGUCUCUCUAUGUAGCCCUGACUGUUCUGGAACUCACUAAGUAGACCAAACUAGCCUCAAACACAGAGAUCCACCUAGCUCUGCAUCCCGAGUUCUGGGACUAAAGGUGUACACCACCAUGCCUGGCUGGAGGUAAUUCUUUACGUAGCCCAGGCUGACCUCAAACUUGUGACCAAGGAUGACCCUGAACUUCUGAUCCUCCUGCCUCCCAGAUUAUAGGUACCCAGCAGCACACUCAAGCUCAUGCAGUGCUGAGGAUGGAACACAGAACGUUGUGCAUGCUAGGCAGGCAUUCUACCAACUGAGCUACAGCCCCAGCCCCAUUGUAAAUCAUUGUGCUUACACUAUCUUCCUCCAAAAGUAAAAAAUCACUAAGAGAAAGUGACAAGACUUAGGAACUUUACCAGCCCCAAAGAGUUAAGAGGGGGCUGGUGAUGUCAGGGAGAGCCCACGGCUGCCUGGACAGGAAAAGAACUCAGGGCUGUUUUUCUUCUCUGAAAACCAAUCCCUGUUGAGUCUCGUGGGCUCUUUAAACCAAAUGUCUUUACAGCUUGAAAUGAAUAACUACAUGACCUCAGCCUUCACGCAUGCAGGCCCUGCUGUUAUACCUGGAGCCUGGCUGCUCCGGGGGCAUCCCGUAAAUAACCCGGGUCUGUACAACACAUGUUGGAGACAAGCUGCCAUCAGAAAUGGUUUCAGCUGGAAAGCCAGAGACUGUCUCUGUGAACACUACAGUCAUCUGGGAUCGAUUUCUCCACUCCCAUUAAGCCCAGACCCUGGCUCCAUUUGCAUUGCUGAGACCAUCAUACGGAACUCAUUUUUAUUGCUUGGAUGUUGGUCUCUCAACCACAUCAAUUACAGCCCUUUGUGUUACCAUUGGAUGAGUGUGAAAUGAAAUGUUGACAGCUUUGUUCUGUGAAGCAGUUCACAGAUUGUGUGGAGAUGGAAUACUGUGUUCGUUGUGAGACUAAAGGAAGAAAAAUUAUAACUAUGGACUUUAGGCUAAAAAGACAAAUCAACUCCCUCAAAACACAA
Peromyscus californicus insignis is the source of this 3294-nucleotide long non-coding RNA. RefSeq lists it as uncharacterized. The transcript has 3 exons. Lineage: Eukaryota; Metazoa; Chordata; Mammalia; Rodentia; Cricetidae. The record is from RefSeq and is a predicted model, not a curated record.